CAUUCAGCAAGGGAGUGUGGCAUUAGCAUUACGCAGGGUGUAGGAAGCAAGGCCCUUGGGCCUUAGGGCGCUGAAGCCCAACGCGCAAAGGGUAAGGCUGAGGGAUAGUAGAAUUAUUCACCUCAUUUUAUCCCAAAGUUUCACAUUCGGCUCUCUCUCUUAAGGUCUCCUCGCCAGAAAAAUGCCCCACCGCGCCGGAAAUCGCCUCUGACGGCGUCGGAGGUCCAACUGGCCUCAAAUGCACACCAACCAACUCGUCUCAACUCCUUCUCUCCCAAUCUCGUACUGAUUCAAGCCAAAACUCAACUAAAUCCUUAUAAUCAAGCUAAACACUCAAGAACUCCAACCAAAUAAAUGAAAAUUAAAUCGAAACAGACGUUUGAAUGAAGCUCAAACCUUAGGGGUUUGGCUCUUCUAUGGAAAGUCUACAUUGUAGUACCAAAGAUCAAGCCAGAAGAAUAGGAAUUGAGGAAUCACCAACCUACAAGGCGGAGGUGGCUUUGGAACUUGUUGAAUGCGAGACUGAGGAAGAAGACGAAGAAGAAUAGAGAAGCUUCAAAUAAGGGUUAAUGUGCAUUAGGUGGAAUGGCUAAUCUAUGAUAUGUUCAUAGUAUGUCAUCAAGAGGAAUUUUGUGAAAUACACCAAGACCAUGAAAUUGAAGACUUGGGAGGCUUGGAAAAAAAUGAAGAUGGGAUGGCAUGUAAAUGAAGAAAAAAAUGGAGAUUAGGGUUUAGGAUUAGUAGUUGACUUUGGUCAACUGUUUGACCAAAAAGUCAAUAGUUGACCAAAAGUCAACUAUAGGUCAAGGUGUGUGAUUUUGUUUAUAACUUCAUGAUUCAGACUUUUUAAUAUGGUUUGAAUGCUUGUAAUAAAGAAAUUACUUCUUUUUGAAUGAAUUGUGUCUUGAAUGUCAA
Lathyrus oleraceus (garden pea) is the source of this 915-nucleotide long non-coding RNA. RefSeq lists it as uncharacterized. NCBI's taxonomy places the organism in Eukaryota, Viridiplantae, Streptophyta, Magnoliopsida, Fabales, Fabaceae. The record is from RefSeq and is a predicted model, not a curated record. The transcript is spliced from 2 exons.